This 223-nucleotide long non-coding RNA is filed under the name Brassica rapa (field mustard). RNAcentral describes it as "long non-coding RNA (BRAP_LNC007716)". Lineage: Eukaryota; Viridiplantae; Streptophyta; Magnoliopsida; Brassicales; Brassicaceae. The record is from RNAcentral.
UUGAAGUUAUUUUUAGGUAACAUGUUACUAUUUAUUUUAUUAAAAAUUGCAAUAGAUAAACGGUAUAUAUUUCAUAUAUUAUUUGAAUUCAAAAAUAUAUUCUGUCCAUUUUUUUAUUUUUUUUGUUUUAUUUUAUCCGUUCUAUGUAGCAAAAGUAUAGAGAUACAUGCAUUACAUUUUUUCAUAUUAGUAAAUGAGCAUUAGUAAACAGCCUUGUAAUGGA